This 114-nucleotide ribosomal RNA is filed under the name Acanthosepion pharaonis. The record is from RNAcentral. Lineage: Eukaryota; Metazoa; Mollusca; Cephalopoda; Sepiida; Sepiidae.
UUACGGCCAUAUCACGUUGAAACACCGGUUCUCGUACGAUCAUCGAAGUUAAGCAACGUCGAGUCUGGUCUAUACCUAGAUGGGUGACCGCUUGGGAAUACCAGAUACUGUAAG